AGUAUUGUAGUUGAAAGUUACAACAGUAAAUUGCAGCUUUAAAGGUAUGAUUAUAUUCAUUAAUACUU
Molecule: transfer RNA, 68 nt
Filed under: Solemya velesiana
Lineage: Eukaryota; Metazoa; Mollusca; Bivalvia; Solemyida; Solemyidae
Description: tRNA-Cys
Rfam family: tRNA
About the family: Transfer RNA (tRNA) molecules are approximately 80 nucleotides in length. Their secondary structure includes four short double-helical elements and three loops (D, anti-codon, and T loops).
Source: RNAcentral